Molecule: small nucleolar RNA, 106 nt
Filed under: Corchorus olitorius
Lineage: Eukaryota; Viridiplantae; Streptophyta; Magnoliopsida; Malvales; Malvaceae
Description: Plant small nucleolar RNA R71
Rfam family: Plant small nucleolar RNA R71
About the family: R71 is a member of the C/D box family of snoRNAs containing the C (UGAUGA) and D (CUGA) box motifs. Multiple nearly identical copies of this snoRNA have been identified in Arabidopsis, and it is thought to function as a 2'-O-ribose methylation guide for 18S ribosomal RNA.
Source: Rfam by way of RNAcentral
ACUCCAUGGUGUGGACAUUUUUGUUGCAAAUCUUGAAUCUUUCCCAAGCAUCAUAAACUGUUUCAUUGUCACGUUCCUUGAAGCCAGUGAUGUCAAUUCUCAGUUU